GGUACAGGUACAGAGUCAAUGUGGAGGCUAUAUACAGGGGGGUACAGGUACAGAGUCAAUGUGGAGGCUAUAUAAAGGGGGUACAGGUACAGAGUCAAUGUGGAGGCUAUAUACAGGGGGUACUGGUACAGAGUCAAUGUGGAGGCUAUAUACAGGGGGUACUGGUACAGAGACAAUGUGGAGGCUAUAUACAAGGGGUACCGGUACAGAGUCAAUGUGGAGGCUAUAUACAGGGGGUACAGGUACAGAGUCAAUGUGGAGACUAUAUACAGGGGGUACAGGUACAGAGACAAUGUGGAGGCUAUAUACAGGGGGUACAGGUACAGAGACAAUGUGGAGGCUAUAUACAGGGGGUACAGAGACAAUGUGGAGGCUAUAUACAGGGGGUACAGGUACAGAGACAAUGUGGAGGCUAUAUACAGGGGGUACAGGUACAGAGUCAAUGUGGAGACUAUAUACAGGGGGUACAGGUACAGAGUCCAUGUGGAGACUAUAUACAGGGG
This is a long non-coding RNA of Oncorhynchus tshawytscha (Chinook salmon), 503 nucleotides long. NCBI's taxonomy places the organism in Eukaryota, Metazoa, Chordata, Actinopteri, Salmoniformes, Salmonidae. The record is from Ensembl.